Molecule: ribosomal RNA, 253 nt
Filed under: uncultured bacterium
Lineage: Bacteria
Description: partial 16S ribosomal RNA
Rfam family: Bacterial small subunit ribosomal RNA
Source: RNAcentral
UACGAAGGGUGCAAGCGUUACUCGGAAUUACUGGGCGUAAAGCGUGCGUAGGUGGUUUGUUAAGUCUGACGUGAAAUCCCCGGGCUCAACCUGGGAAUUGCGUUGGAGACUGCAAGGCUGGAGUCUGGCAGAGGGGGGUAGAAUUCCACGUGUAGCAGUGAAAUGCGUAGAGAUGUGGAGGAACACCGAUGGCGAAGGCAGCCCCCUGGGCCAAGACUGACGCUCAUGCACGAAAGCGUGGGGAGCAAACAGG